Molecule: ribosomal RNA, 900 nt
Filed under: uncultured bacterium
Lineage: Bacteria
Description: bacterial SSU rRNA
Rfam family: Bacterial small subunit ribosomal RNA
Source: RNAcentral
GGAUGAACGCUAGCUACAGGCUUAACACAUGCAAGUCGAGGGGAAACGAUAGAGAAAGCUUGCUUUUUCUAGGCGUCGACCGGCGCACGGGUGAGUAACGCGUAUCCAACCUGCCCAUCACUUGGGGAUAACCUUGCGAAAGUAAGACUAAUACCCAAUGAUAUCUCUAGAAGACAUCUGAAAGAGAUUAAAGAUUUAUCGGUGAUGGAUGGGGAUGCGUCUGAUUAGCUUGUUGGCGGGGUAACGGCCCACCAAGGCGACGAUCAGUAGGGGUUCUGAGAGGAAGGUCCCCCACAUUGGAACUGAGACACGGUCCAAACUCCUACGGGAGGCAGCAGUGAGGAAUAUUGGUCAAUGGGCGAGAGCCUGAACCAGCCAAGUAGCGUGCAGGAAGACGGCCCUAUGGGUUGUAAACUGCUUUUAUAAGGGAAUAAAGUGGGAGUCGUGACUCCUUUUGCAUGUACCUUAUGAAUAAGGACCGGCUAAUUCCGUGCCAGCAGCCGCGGUAAUACGGAAGGUCCGGGCGUUAUCCGGAUUUAUUGGGUUUAAAGGGAGCGUAGGCCGGAGAUUAAGCGUGUUGUGAAAUGUAGACGCUCAACGUCUGCACUGCAGCGCGAACUGGUUUCCUUGAGUACGCACAAAGUGGGCGGAAUUCGUGGUGUAGCGGUGAAAUGCUUAGAUAUCACGAAGAACUCCGAUUGCGAAGGCAGCUCACUGGAGCGCAACUGACGCUGAAGCUCGAAAGUGCGGGUAUCGAACAGGAUUAGAUACCCUGGUAGUCCGCACGGUAAACGAUGGAUGCCCGCUGUUGGUCUGAAUAGGUCAGCGGCCAAGCGAAAGCAUUAAGCAUCCCACCUGGGGAGUACGCCGGCAACGGUGAAACUCAAAGGAAUUGACGGA